GUCUAUAAUUAUGUCAAAAUCAAACGUAAAAAAUAAGAAGACACUGAUCUCAGAGGCUAAGCAGGGUUGGGCCUGGUUAGUACUUGGAAUGGAGACCACCUAGGAAGACCAGGUGCUGUAGGUG
This 124-nucleotide ribosomal RNA is filed under the name Pteropus vampyrus (large flying fox). The record is from RNAcentral. Lineage: Eukaryota; Metazoa; Chordata; Mammalia; Chiroptera; Pteropodidae.